This 478-nucleotide ribosomal RNA is filed under the name uncultured bacterium. Its description in RNAcentral is "partial 16S ribosomal RNA". It matches the Rfam family "Bacterial small subunit ribosomal RNA", at positions 28 to 523 of the family's 1533-position model. The record is from RNAcentral.
GACGAACGCCGGCGGCGUGCCUAACACAUGCGAGUCGAGCGGAGAUUGCAGUAAUGUAAUCUUAGCGGCGGACGGGUGAGUAACGCGUGGGCAACCUACCUUUAUCUGGGGGAUAACACAGGGAAACUUGUGCUAAUACCGCAUAAAAUCAUAAGAAGACAUCUUCUAAUGAUCAAAGGAGUAAUCCGGAUAGAGAUGGGCCCGCGUCCGAUUAGCUAGUUGGUGGUGUAACGGACCACCAAGGCGACGAUCGGUAGCCGAACUGAGAGGUUGAUCGGCCACAUUGGGACUGAGGCACGGCCCAGACUCCUACGGGAGGCAGCAGUGGGGAAUAUUGCGCAAUGGGGGAAACCCUGACGCAGCAACGCCGCGUGAAGGAUGAAGGUUUUCGGAUCGUAAACUUCUUUGAUGAGGGACGAAUAAAUGACGGUACCUCAAAAACAAGCCACGGCUAACUACGUGCCAGCAGCCGCCGUAA